GUUAAGCGACUAAGCGUACACGGUGGAUGCCCUGGCAGUCAGAGGCGAUGAAGGACGUGCUAAUCUGCGAUAAGCGUCGGUGAGGUGAUAUGAACCGUUAUAACCGGCGAUUUCCGAAUGGGGAAACCCAGUGUGUUUCGACACACUAUCAUUAACUGAAUCCAUAGGUUAAUGAGGCGAACCGGGGGAACUGAAACAUCUAAGUACCCCGAGGAAAAGAAAUCAACCGAGAUUCCCCCAGUAGCGGCGAGCGAACGGGGAGGAGCCCAGAGCCUGAAUCAGUGUGUGUGUUAGUGGAAGCGUCUGGAAAGGCGCGCGAUACAGGGUGACAGCCCCGUACACAAAAAUGCACAUGCUGUGAGCUCGAUGAGUAGGGCGGGACACGUGGUAUCCUGUCUGAAUAUGGGGGGACCAUCCUCCAAGGCUAAAUACUCCUGACUGACCGAUAGUGAACCAGUACCGUGAGGGAAAGGCGAAAAGAACCCCGGCGAGGGGAGUGAAAAAGAACCUGAAACCGUGUACGUACAAGCAGUGGGAGCCUCUUAAUGGGGUGACUGCGUACCUUUUGUAUAAUGGGUCAGCGACUUAUAUUCUGUAGCAAGGUUAACCGAAUAGGGGAGCCGAAGGGAAACCGAGUCUUAACUGGGCGUUAAGUUGCAGGGUAUAGACCCGAAACCCGGUGAUCUAGCCAUGGGCAGGUUGAAGGUUGGGUAACACUAACUGGAGGACCGAACCGACUAAUGUUGAAAAAUUAGCGGAUGACUUGUGGCUGGGGGUGAAAGGCCAAUCAAACCGGGAGAUAGCUGGUUCUCCCCGAAAGCUAUUUAGGUAGCGCCUCGUGAAUUCAUCUCCGGGGGUAGAGCACUGUUUCGGCAAGGGGGUCAUCCCGACUUACCAACCCGAUGCAAACUGCGAAUACCGGAGAAUGUUAUCACGGGAGACACACGGCGGGUGCUAACGUCCGUCGUGAAGAGGGAAACAACCCAGACCGCCAGCUAAGGUCCCAAAGUCAUGGUUAAGUGGGAAACGAUGUGGGAAGGCCCAGACAGCCAGGAUGUUGGCUUAGAAGCAGCCAUCAUUUAAAGAAAGCGUAAUAGCUCACUGGUCGAGUCGGCCUGCGCGGAAGAUGUAACGGGGCUAAACCAUGCACCGAAGCUGCGGCAGCGACGCUUUGCGUUGUUGGGUAGGGGAGCGUUCUGUAAGCCUGUGAAGGUGGCCUGUGAGGGUUGCUGGAGGUAUCAGAAGUGCGAAUGCUGACAUAAGUAACGAUAAAGCGGGUGAAAAGCCCGCUCGCCGGAAGACCAAGGGUUCCUGUCCAACGUUAAUCGGGGCAGGGUGAGUCGACCCCUAAGGCGAGGCCGAAAGGCGUAGUCGAUGGGAAACAGGUUAAUAUUCCUGUACUUGGUGUUACUGCGAAGGGGGGACGGAGAAGGCUAUGUUGGCCGGGCGACGGUUGUCCCGGUUUAAGCGUGUAGGCUGGUUUUCCAGGCAAAUCCGGAAAACCAAGGCUGAGGCGUGAUGACGAGGCACUACGGUGCUGAAGCGACAAAUGCCCUGCUUCCAGGAAAAGCCUCUAAGCAUCAGGUAACAUCAAAUCGUACCCCAAACCGACACAGGUGGUCAGGUAGAGAAUACCAAGGCGCUUGAGAGAACUCGGGUGAAGGAACUAGGCAAAAUGGUGCCGUAACUUCGGGAGAAGGCACGCUGAUAUGUAGGUGAAGCGACUUGCUCGUGGAGCUGAAAUCAGUCGAAGAUACCAGCUGGCUGCAACUGUUUAUUAAAAACACAGCACUGUGCAAACACGAAAGUGGACGUAUACGGUGUGACGCCUGCCCGGUGCCGGAAGGUUAAUUGAUGGGGUUAGCGGUAACGCGAAGCUCUUGAUCGAAGCCCCGGUAAACGGCGGCCGUAACUAUAACGGUCCUAAGGUAGCGAAAUUCCUUGUCGGGUAAGUUCCGACCUGCACGAAUGGCGUAAUGAUGGCCAGGCUGUCUCCACCCGAGACUCAGUGAAAUUGAACUCGCUGUGAAGAUGCAGUGUACCCGCGGCAAGACGGAAAGACCCCGUGAACCUUUACUAUAGCUUGACACUGAACAUUGAGCCUUGAUGUGUAGGAUAGGUGGGAGGCUUUGAAGUGUGGACGCCAGUCUGCAUGGAGCCGACCUUGAAAUACCACCCUUUAAUGUUUGAUGUUCUAACGUUGGCCCCUAAUCGGGGUUGCGGACAGUGUCUGGUGGGUAGUUUGACUGGGGCGGUCUCCUCCUAAAGAGUAACGGAGGAGCACGAAGGUUGGCUAAUCCUGGUCGGACAUCAGGAGGUUAGUGCAAUGGCAUAAGCCAGCUUGACUGCGAGCGUGACGGCGCGAGCAGGUGCGAAAGCAGGUCAUAGUGAUCCGGUGGUUCUGAAUGGAAGGGCCAUCGCUCAACGGAUAAAAGGUACUCCGGGGAUAACAGGCUGAUACCGCCCAAGAGUUCAUAUCGACGGCGGUGUUUGGCACCUCGAUGUCGGCUCAUCACAUCCUGGGGCUGAAGUAGGUCCCAAGGGUAUGGCUGUUCGCCAUUUAAAGUGGUACGCGAGCUGGGUUUAGAACGUCGUGAGACAGUUCGGUCCCUAUCUGCCGUGGGCGCUGGAGAACUGAGGGGGGCUGCUCCUAGUACGAGAGGACCGGAGUGGACGCAUCACUGGUGUUCGGGUUGUCAUGCCAAUGGCACUGCCCGGUAGCUAAAUGCGGAAGAGAUAAGUGCUGAAAGCAUCUAAGCACGAAACUUGCCCCGAGAUGAGUUCUCCCUGAGACUUAGAGUCUCCUGAAGGAACGUUGAAGACGACGACGUUGAUAGGCCGGGUGUGUAAGCGCAGCGAUGCGUUGAGCUAACCGGUACUAAUGAACCGUGAGGCUUAACCUUACAACGCCGAAG
This 2915-nucleotide ribosomal RNA is filed under the name Escherichia coli. Its description in RNAcentral is "partial 23S ribosomal RNA". It matches the Rfam family "Bacterial large subunit ribosomal RNA". Lineage: Bacteria; Pseudomonadati; Pseudomonadota; Gammaproteobacteria; Enterobacterales; Enterobacteriaceae. The record is from RNAcentral.